Molecule: ribosomal RNA, 1386 nt
Filed under: bacterium S3
Lineage: Bacteria
Description: partial 16S ribosomal RNA
Rfam family: Bacterial small subunit ribosomal RNA
Source: RNAcentral
UCCCCUUCGGGGGUGACGCUUGUGGAACGAGCGGCGGACGGGUGAGUAACACGUGGGCAACCUGCCUGUAAGACUCGGGAUACCCCGGGAAACCGGGGUAAUACCGGAUAACAGGCCCUCCACAUGGAGUCUGGAACUAAGAUGGCUUCUCGCUAUCACUUACAGAUGGGCCCGCGGCGCAUUAGCUAGUUGGUGAGGUAACGGCUCACCAAGGCGACGAUGCGUAGCCGACCUGAGAGGGUGAUCGGCCACACUGGGACUGAGACACGGCCCAGACUCCUACGGGAGGCAGCAGUAGGGAAUCUUCCGCAAUGGACGAAAGUCUGACGGACGUAACGCCGCGUGAAGGAUGAAGGUUCUUCGGAUCGUAAAGUUCUGAAAGUCACCCACAGAACAAGUGCCGUGCGAAUAGACCCGUCACCUUGACGGUAACUGACGAGGAAGCCCGGGCUAACUACGUGCCAGCAGCCGCGGUAAUACGUAGGGGGCAAGCGUAAUCCCGAAUUAUUGGGCGUAAAGCGCGCGCAGGCUGUUUUCUUAAGUCUGAUGGGAAAGCCCACGGCUCAACCGUGGAGGGUCAUUGGAAACUGGGGAACUUGAGUACAGAAGAGGAGAGUGGAAUUCCACGUGUAGCGGUGAAAUGCGUAGAUAUGUGGAGGAACACCAGUGGCGAAGGCGACUCUCUGGUCUGUAACUGACGCUGAGGCGCGAAAGCGUGGGGAGCAAACAGGAUUAGAUACCCUGGUAGUCCACGCCGUAAACGAUGAGUGCUAGGUGUUAGGGGGGCUUCCACCCCUUAGUGCUGAAGUUAAACGCAUUAAGCACUCCGCCUGGGGAGUACGGSCGCRAGGCUGAAACUCAAAGGAAUUGACGGGGGGCCGCACAAACGGUGGAGCAUGUGGUUUAAUUUGUAAGCAACGCUGAARAACCUUACCAGGGUCUUGGCAUCUUCUGUGACAACCCUGGAGACAGGGCGUUUUCUUCGGGGAACGAAUGAAAGAUUUGUGGAUGGUUGUCAUAUCAGCACGAAACGGGAGAUGUUAGUGGUUAACUCCCUUCAACGAGCGCAAGGGGUGACCUUAGUUGCCAGCAUUCAGUUGGGCACUCUAAGGUGACUGCCGGUGACAAACCGGAGGAAGGCGUUUAUGACGUCAAAUCAUCAUGCCCCUUAUGACCUGGGCUACACACGUGCUACAAUGGAUGGUACUUUAAAAGCGAAGCCGCGAGGUGUAGCAAAUCCCAUAUUUCCAUUCUCAGUUCGGAUUGCAGGCUGCAAAACGCCUGCAUGAAAUUGGAAUCGCUAGUAAUCGCGGAUCAGCAUGCCGCGGUGAUUCGGUUCCCCCACCUUGUACACACCGCCCGUCACACCACGGGAGUUGGCCCCAG